GACAGCACAUUUAAAUACUCAACAAAAACAGGAUAUAAAACACGGAUAUACGGUCGCUGGUUUUCAUUGGUCGAAUCGACUAGUUUAAGGUGAACUCACCUUGUUUUAUUUACAUCUGUACUGUGUAUACAUCCCUGAACACAGACUAUCGCCGCCAGGCACAUUCAUCGUAAAACAGAUUGAAAGUAUGGAGAUAUUAUUCAUAAGUUUUCUGGGUGUUGUUGCAGUUGCUGCUUCAUCAUACGAAAGGAACUGUCCACCGGGUCCUGGAAUAAUUCAGCGUUGUGACCAGGUUCCAUGGUAACCGAUAUUAGAGUGCAGGAAAACAGGAUGUCCACCAGGAAAAGUGUGCUGUUCUGCGGGUGCAGCAGCGAUCCAGUUGUUAUAGAUCCAUAACACAGA
Molecule: long non-coding RNA, 402 nt
Organism: Gigantopelta aegis
Lineage: Eukaryota; Metazoa; Mollusca; Gastropoda; Neomphalida; Peltospiridae
Exons: 3
Source: RefSeq, a predicted model, not a curated record